Molecule: small RNA, 30 nt
Filed under: Bombyx mori (domestic silkworm)
Lineage: Eukaryota; Metazoa; Arthropoda; Insecta; Lepidoptera; Bombycidae
Description: ovarian small RNA-20856
Source: RNAcentral
UACCUCCCGAAGCAGCCAUGCCCAGUGAGC